This 274-nucleotide long non-coding RNA is filed under the name Linum usitatissimum (flax). Its description in RNAcentral is "long non-coding RNA (LUSI_LNC003902)". Lineage: Eukaryota; Viridiplantae; Streptophyta; Magnoliopsida; Malpighiales; Linaceae. The record is from RNAcentral.
ACAAGUAAUUAUUCCUUUAACUCCACAUUAUCUCACUCUUUUUCUUUUUUUUCUUUUCCCCAUUUUGAUUCUUGUGAAUUUUCGUUCGUUUUCUUAUUUGUUGUAUUUCAUUUGAGAAUGAGAAGGGGAGGAGGCGAGAUUUCUUACAUGUUCUUAAUCCGAAUAUAGAGGGUUUUUUUUCGGCGAACUAUCAUUUUUUCGAUCGACCGGAAGAAUUAAUCUCUCGAACGAACGAAAAAGAAAACUAACACAAAUGUAAAUAGAGAGGAAGACG